UAAGCAUUUGGUUAUUUAGAACAAUACAAAUUCCAUUAAGUAUGAGUAUUCAUACUUAAUGAUGAUAUGUACAACUUUCAGAACAGGUUUAAAGCAACCGGUUUUUUUUUCCUUCUCACUCUCUCCUGCAUAUCUCUCUCUAGCCAAGUUCUUGGUUUGUUGUAAAGUUGUUAAAGAUGGUGCUUUGGGUUUUUAGCUAUGGCUCACUGGUGUAGAACCCUGGAUUUGACUUUGAUGAAAGGAUUGUUGGUUAUAUCAAGGACUACAGACGGGUGUUUAAUCUUGCAUGCAUAGACCACAGAGGUACACUACAUCCAGCUAGGACCUGCACCUUGGAGGCCAAGAAAGGGGCAAUCUGUGUAAGUAGAGGUCAUGGCCAGAUGAGGUGAUUCAUUUGCCUAUAUCAAAGUUCAAUGCCUUUUUUUCUUUCUGAACUAUAUUAAUGAAAAAGAUUUUGUCAGCAUUCUGCAUUUUUGUAGUAUGAUAGUGGAUCUUCUCGCAUUUAAAUUUUUGAAUUCCAGUUGUCUAUUAGAGUAAAAACAACGUGAAAUCAAUAGAGAGCCAAAAUAAAGUGUUUGACGUAACCUCUACUGUGAAACAAGAAACCAAAGCUCUUAAAGAACUGAUUUAAUAGUGAUGACUUGUUUGAUUGAAUGCUUUGUUUAUCUUUUUGCUAGUAGCUGCUUUUAAAAAUAUUCCUUCUACAAUCCAGUCUAGCUUAAACAAUUGAUAGUACAUACUUCUUUUCUUUUGCUGGUUUCAAUUGUACAAAAAGCAAUUCCUAAAUUAGUGAAAAGUUUACAUGAACAUGUUAAUGUUUUGUUCGGAUUAAUGAUAUUCUAGGGCUAAUACUAAUAUUCCAUAUUUAACCAACAAUGGUGAUUAAAUAUGUUUUCCAUUGUAAAGACCUACAAUGGAAAUUUAGAGUACUACUGCAUGAAUCUCUUUUUGCUGGAGAUUUGAAAGAAUUUGCUUAUGUAGCUACUAUUUGUUCCUCAUCAGUAGGAACAAAUAGUAGCUACAUAAGCAAAUUCAGUAGGAGCAUUCCACUGAAUUCUUGCCUGGUGAAGUUGAUAAUAGUCUUCUUGUUAAAAUUAAAAAGAUAUGAAUUGAAGAUUUGUAGGUAAGAACAUUACUAGUCCUUUUUACAGAACCUUCUAUUUUUUUUUUUCACUUCCUCUUGUUCUCCGAUCUUUAGUUUCAUUCUGUUCAUUUUCAUUCUUAAAAGUUAAAACUGGAUGUGUUGUGGCAUUUGAUUGUGAGCUGAUUUGAUUUUGCUCACAUUUCAUUGCGUCCUAUGCUUUGCUUGCUUUUAGGGUUUCAUGUUAAAGACUAAUUAUUGCAAUUUUUCUUUGUUUUAAUCCUGCCUUUCUUACUCUUGUUUAGCAUUAGUUAAGGUUAUCUAGCAUUGUUCCUUUCCUGCACUGUUAAAAGUUGUUUGUUUGAGAGAUAUUUGGCAAUAUGGAAACAUGCGGUAUUUUGAUUUUGGUGUCUUAUAUUAAUGGAAUCUCAUAUUAUUCGGCCUAAAUUUUGAUCUUUUUGAGACAUGCAUCAAGGAUAGGCUUAUAUGUAUCAUUGAGUUUAAUUACAAUAAGGUAUGAAUUUUAUAAUUUAGCAUUUAAUAGUUUUUUAUUUGAUUUUAAUCACAAUUAUAGCUCCUUAUUUAAUAAUGUUUAUUUACUUAUGUAGGAGAAUUCAUGGCUAAAGCUUAAGAGGAUACACAAAUCUUUUUACUUUGUGUAAUUAAGCAAAAAAAUAUCUUGUAAU
Molecule: long non-coding RNA, 1767 nt
Organism: Dioscorea cayenensis subsp. rotundata (Guinea yam)
Lineage: Eukaryota; Viridiplantae; Streptophyta; Magnoliopsida; Dioscoreales; Dioscoreaceae
Exons: 3
Source: RefSeq, a predicted model, not a curated record